UACGGAGGGUGCUAGCGUUGUUCGGAAUUACUGGGCGUAAAGAGCACGUAGGCGGCGCGGCCAGUCAGAGGUGAAAGCCCCGGGCUCAACCUGGGAAUUGCCUUUGAUACUGCCGUGCUAGAGUCCAUCAGAGGGUGGCGGAAUACCCAGUGUAGAGGUGAAAUUCGUAGAUAUUGGGUAGAACACCAGUGGCGAAGGCGGCCACCUGGGAUGGUACUGACGCUGAGGUGCGAAAGCGUGGGGAGCAAACAGG
RNAcentral lists this ribosomal RNA (253 nucleotides) under uncultured bacterium. RNAcentral's name for it is "partial 16S ribosomal RNA". It matches the Rfam family "Bacterial small subunit ribosomal RNA", at positions 524 to 776 of the family's 1533-position model. The record is from RNAcentral.